AGUGAACGCUGGCGGCAGGCCUAACACAUGCAAGUCGAACGGCAGCACAGAGGAGCUUGCUCCUUGGGUGGCGAGUGGCGGACGGGUGAGGAAUACAUCGGGAAUCUGCCCAAUCGUGGGGGAUAACGUAGGGAAACUUACGCUAAUACCGCAUACGACCCCAUAUCGAAGGGUGUGGGGGUGAAAGCGUGGGACCGCAAGGCCACGCGCGAUUGGAUGAGCCGAUGCGGAUUAGCUUGUUGGCGGGUAAAGG
This 253-nucleotide ribosomal RNA is filed under the name uncultured bacterium. Its description in RNAcentral is "partial 16S ribosomal RNA". It matches the Rfam family "Bacterial small subunit ribosomal RNA", at positions 29 to 263 of the family's 1533-position model. The record is from RNAcentral.